UACAAAGGUCUCAAGCGUUGUUCGGAUUCAUUGGGCGUAAAGGGUGCGUAGGCGGCGCGGUAAGUCGGGUGUGAAAUCUCGGAGCUUAACUCCGAAACUGCAUUCGAUACUGCCGUGCUUGAGGACUGGAGAGGAGACUGGAAUUUACGGUGUAGCGGUGAAAUGCGUAGAUAUCGUAAGGAAGACCAGUGGCGAAGGCGGGUCUCUGGACAGUUCCUGACGCUGAGGCACGAAGGUCAGGGGAGCAAACGGG
This 253-nucleotide ribosomal RNA is filed under the name uncultured bacterium. RNAcentral's name for it is "partial 16S ribosomal RNA". It matches the Rfam family "Bacterial small subunit ribosomal RNA", at positions 524 to 776 of the family's 1533-position model. The record is from RNAcentral.